This 818-nucleotide ribosomal RNA is filed under the name Escherichia coli. RNAcentral's name for it is "partial 23S ribosomal RNA". It matches the Rfam family "Bacterial large subunit ribosomal RNA", at positions 371 to 1191 of the family's 2925-position model. Lineage: Bacteria; Pseudomonadati; Pseudomonadota; Gammaproteobacteria; Enterobacterales; Enterobacteriaceae. The record is from RNAcentral.
CCCCGUACACAAAAAUGCACAUACUGUGAGCUCGAUGAGUAGGGCGGGACACGUGGUAUCCUGUCUGAAUAUGGGGGGACCAUCCUCCAAGGCUAAAUACUCCUGACUGACCGAUAGUGAACCAGUACCGUGAGGGAAAGGCGAAAAGAACCCCGGCGAGGGGAGUGAAAAAGAACCUGAAACCGUGUACGUACAAGCAGUGGGAGCACAGAGCAAUCUGUGUGACUGCGUACCUUUUGUAUAAUGGGUCAGCGACUUAUAUUCUGUAGCAAGGUUAACCGAAUAGGGGAGCCGAAGGGAAACCGAGUCUUAACUGGGCGUUAAGUUGCAGGGUAUAGACCCGAAACCCGGUGAUCUAGCCAUGGGCAGGUUGAAGGUUGGGUAACACUAACUGGAGGACCGAACCGACUAAUGUUGAAAAAUUAGCGGAUGACUUGUGGCUGGGGGUGAAAGGCCAAUCAAACCGGGAGAUAGCUGGUUCUCCCCGAAAGCUAUUUAGGUAGCGCCUCGUGAAUUCAUCUCCGGGGGUAGAGCACUGUUUCGGCAAGGGGGUCAUCCCGACUUACCAACCCGAUGCAAACUGCGAAUACCGGAGAAUGUUAUCACGGGAGACACACGGCGGGUGCUAACGUCCGUCGUGAAGAGGGAAACAACCCAGACCGCCAGCUAAGGUCCCAAAGUCAUGGUUAAGUGGGAAACGAUGUGGGAAGGCCCAGACAGCCAGGAUGUUGGCUUAGAAGCAGCCAUCAUUUAAAGAAAGCGUAAUAGCUCACUGGUCGAGUCGGCCUGCGCGGAAGAUGUAACGGGGCUAAACCAUG